RNAcentral lists this long non-coding RNA (382 nucleotides) under Sorghum bicolor (sorghum). RNAcentral's name for it is "long non-coding RNA (SBIC_LNC009958)". Lineage: Eukaryota; Viridiplantae; Streptophyta; Magnoliopsida; Poales; Poaceae. The record is from RNAcentral.
UUGCUAUCUCUCCUCUUCUUUGAUCUUUGCUUUGGGAGAACAUGGGCUAUCUCUUUUCUUUCUCUUUUUUUCAGGUGGGUAGUAGAUACCCCUAAUUCUACUGUCGGACACUUGUCUAUUUUUUUCCGCUCAAGUUGGCAUCUUUGUACCCCUAAUUCUACUCCGGACACUUGUCUAUUUUUACCUCUCGUCUCACUCUUCUUUCUUUCUUUUCAAGGUUCCGGGCACUUGCCCCUUUUUAUUUCCUCGCAUAUUUUUGCAUAACCCAUGCCUCUUCUGCAUUGAAUCUUUUUAGAGAGAGAAUACCAACAUUUGGGACAGUGAGUGGUAAUAUAUUUAGCAAUUUUAAUGAAUGGUGGUGGAUGGUGUAGUAGAUGUGUGC